This is a non-coding RNA of Ameiurus melas (black bullhead), 83 nucleotides long. NCBI's taxonomy places the organism in Eukaryota, Metazoa, Chordata, Actinopteri, Siluriformes, Ictaluridae. The record is from the annotation of a GenBank genome assembly.
GAUGAGGUGGCCGAGAGGUUAAGGCGCAUGGACUGUUCAUCCAUUGUGCUCUGCACGCUGCAGGUCGAGUCCCACCCUCAUCG